ACUGUACAACACUUGUUCUCAGUAAAACAACACUCAUAUAACAUGGUUGACUAUCUCUCAUGUAUAAACAGGUUAUGGAGGUUAGUAUAGACAUUAGACUAACUUCAGUAACCUGGCAGUAGGUUCUCCACUGAUA
Mytilus californianus (California mussel) is the source of this 136-nucleotide long non-coding RNA. RefSeq lists it as uncharacterized. The record is from RefSeq and is a predicted model, not a curated record. The transcript is spliced from 3 exons. NCBI's taxonomy places the organism in Eukaryota, Metazoa, Mollusca, Bivalvia, Mytilida, Mytilidae.